Molecule: ribosomal RNA, 911 nt
Filed under: uncultured archaeon
Lineage: Archaea
Description: bacterial SSU rRNA
Rfam family: Archaeal small subunit ribosomal RNA
Source: RNAcentral
UUCCGGUUGAUCCUGCCGGACCUGACUGCUAUCGGAUUGAUACUAAGCCAUGUUAGUCUUUGUAGUAAUACAAGGCAUACGGCUCAGUAACACGUAGUCAACCUAACUUAUGGACGGGGAUAACUUCGGGAAACUGAUGAUAAUACCCGAUAGGUCAUUAUGCCUGGAAUGGUUUAUGGCUUAAAUGAAUUUCGCCAUAGGAUGGGACUGCGGCCUAUCAGCUUGUUGGUGAGGUAAUGGCCCACCAAGGCUAUAACAGGUACGGGCUCUGAGAGGAGUAGCCCGGAGAUGGGUACUGAGACAAGGACCCAGGUCCUAUGGGACGCAGCAGGCGAGAAAACUUUGCAAUGUGCGAAAGCACGACAAGGUUAAUCCGAGUGAUUUCUGCUAAAGGAAUCUUUUGCCAGUCAUAAAACCACUAGUGAAUAAGGGGUGGGCAAGUUCUGGUGUCAGCCGCCGCGGUAAAACCAGCACCUCAAGUGGUCAGGAGGAUUAUUGGGCCUAAAGCAUCCGUAGCCGGCUCUGUAAGUUUUCGGUUAAAUCCAUGUGCUCAACGCAUGGCUGCCGAAAAUACUGCAUAGCUAGGGAGUGGGAGAGGUAGACGGUACUUGGUAGGAAGGGGUAAAAUCCUUUGAUCUAUCGAUGACCACCUGUGGCGAAGGCGGUCUACCAGAACACGUUCGACGGUGAGGGAUGAAAGCUGGGGGAGCAAACCGGAUUAGAUACCCGGGUAGUCCCAGCUGUAAACGAUGCAGACUCGAUGAUGUAUUGGCACCUAGCUAGUGCAGUGUCGCAGGAAGCCGUUAAGUCUGCCGCCUGGGAAGUACGUACGCAAGUAUGAAACUUAAAGGAAUUGGCGGGGGAGCACCACAAGGGGUGAAGCCUGCGGUUCAAUUGGAGUCAACGCUGGA